GGAGAGGUGUCCGAGCGGUUUAAGGAGCCAGUCUUGAAAACUGGUGACUCAGUCAUGGGCCAUGGGUUCGAAUCCCAUCCUCUCCGCCA
This 89-nucleotide transfer RNA is filed under the name Oscillospiraceae bacterium. RNAcentral's name for it is "tRNA-Ser". It matches the Rfam family "tRNA". Rfam says of the family: Transfer RNA (tRNA) molecules are approximately 80 nucleotides in length. Their secondary structure includes four short double-helical elements and three loops (D, anti-codon, and T loops). RNAcentral also lists the same sequence under 1 other name. The record is from RNAcentral. Lineage: Bacteria; Bacillati; Bacillota; Clostridia; Eubacteriales; Oscillospiraceae.